CGACUAAGAUAUACAGCAAGUGAUCGGGAAAAACAUCCCAGUUCGUUAUAAACAUGUUUGUUAUAAAGCACAGUUUACUGUUUAUAACAGUGCACCAAUGAUAUAUUAUGCUGUCACAUAUAAAGUGUGUCACCUUUACAUAAAACACUGUACAAUUUCUA
Long non-coding RNA from Haliotis rubra (blacklip abalone), 161 nucleotides. RefSeq lists it as uncharacterized. The transcript is spliced from 2 exons. The record is from RefSeq and is a predicted model, not a curated record. Lineage: Eukaryota; Metazoa; Mollusca; Gastropoda; Lepetellida; Haliotidae.